This is a long non-coding RNA of Triticum aestivum (bread wheat), 619 nucleotides long. RefSeq lists it as uncharacterized. The record is from RefSeq and is a predicted model, not a curated record. The transcript is spliced from 3 exons. Lineage: Eukaryota; Viridiplantae; Streptophyta; Magnoliopsida; Poales; Poaceae.
ACAGGAUGACGAGUGGCUUCCACCCCCCAAAUUCUUAAGAGGUUCUGCAGAACUUCCACCGCCUAUUGCAAAUGAGUCUGAACGUCCACUGAUUAGACCUGACGGGGAGACACCAUCGCAUCCCUUCAAGGAGUUCAAGGGCCUGAGAUUCCAUGCAUUGUUAUACCUCCACCUCCAUCUUUUUCAACAUUAACCACUUCGUCUCCGAUCUUUUCUCCAGAAAUGCCCUCCACAGGUGAAUCAACUAAUGGUGCUGAAAAUAUGAAUAAUACAUUGCGUGCAGCAGAAGAUGGAAUGUUUGCUGGCUUGUUUGACGCAAACUGGAAAUUUCUCUCCGCCUGGUGACGAACUACCUCCUUUUUGAGAUGUCUCUUGCGGUGGUGAAGGAAGUGGCAUAAAAUUUUUGCGUCGAUUAAUUGGAAGCCAAUGCUUGUUACUAGGAUAUGCAUACUUAAUUAAGUGCAACAUGACACUUCUCUUUUUGGCCAUGCACAUGCUGAUGGUUGUGAUCUCUUGGAUCAGUGACUUACAUGAUUCAUAGGUGUGUGACAAUCCUAGUCAGAUGACACUUUGUGAAGUGUAGGGUACUUUUGUAAGCUCCUGGUUGUUGUCAUGUAAA